Long non-coding RNA from Oncorhynchus keta (chum salmon), 151 nucleotides. RefSeq lists it as uncharacterized. The transcript is spliced from 3 exons. Lineage: Eukaryota; Metazoa; Chordata; Actinopteri; Salmoniformes; Salmonidae. The record is from RefSeq and is a predicted model, not a curated record.
AUGUACUGACCCGUAGGUACUGACCCAUAUGUACUGACCCGUAGGUACUGACCCAUAUGUACUGACCCGUAGGUACUGACCCGUAGGUACUGACCCGUAUGGUACUGACCCGUAGGUACUGACCCGUAGGUACUGACCCGUAUGUACUGAC